GACGAACGCUGGCGGCGUGCUUAACACAUGCAAGUCGAACGGAAAGGCCCUGCUUUUGUGGGGUGCUCGAGUGGCGAACGGGUGAGUAACACGUGAGUAACCUGCCCUUGACUUUGGGAUAACUUCAGGAAACUGGGGCUAAUACCCGAUAGGAGCUCCUGCUGCAUGGGGGGGGUUGGAAAGUUUCGGCGGUUGGGGAUGGACUCGCGGCUUAUCAGCUUGUUGGUGGGGUAGUGGCUUACCAAGGCUUUGACGGGUAGCCGGCCUGAGAGGGUGACCGGCCACAUUGGGACUGAGAUACGGCCCAGACUCCUACGGGAGGCAGCAGUGGGGAAUAUUGCACAAUGGGCGGAAGCCUGAUGCAGCAACGCCGCGUGCGGGAUGACGGCCUUCGGGUUGUAAACCGCUUUCGCCUGUGACGAAGCGUGAGUGACGGUAAUGGGUAAAGAAGCACCGGCUAACUACGUG
RNAcentral lists this ribosomal RNA (468 nucleotides) under uncultured bacterium. RNAcentral describes it as "partial 16S ribosomal RNA". It matches the Rfam family "Bacterial small subunit ribosomal RNA", at positions 28 to 507 of the family's 1533-position model. The record is from RNAcentral.